CGCGGCCUAUCAGCUUGUUGGUGGGGUAACGGCCUACCAAGGCUAUGACGGGUAGCUGACGUGAGAGCGUGAGCAGCCACACUGGGACUGAGACACGGCCCAGACUCCUACGGGAGGCAGCAGUGGGGAAUAUUGCGCAAUGGGCGAAAGCCUGACGCAGCGACGCCGCGUGGGGGAGGAAGGCCCUAGGGUUGUAAACCCCUGUCAGGUGGGACGAACCCCGGGUUGGUUAAUAAUCAGCUCGACUGACGGUACCACCAGAGGAAGCUCCGGCUAACUCCGUGCCAGCAGCCGCGGUAAUACGGAGGGAGCGAGCGUUGUUCGGAAUCACUGGGCGUAAAGGGCGCGUAGGCGGCCGAGUAAGUCGUGUGUGAAAGACCGGGGCUCAACUCCGUGUACUGCAUGCGAUACUGCCCGGCUAGAGUAAGGUAGAGGCGAGUGGAAUUCCCGGUGUAGCGGUGGAAUGCGUAGAUAUCGGGAAGAACACCUGUGGCGAAGGCGGCUCGCUGGGCCUUUUCUGACGCUGAAGCGCGAAAGCGUGGGGAGCAAACGGGAUUAGAUACCCUGGUAGUCCACGCCGUAAACGAUGGGCACUAGGCGUUGGGAGGAUUGACCCUCUCAGUGCCGUAGCUAACGCGUUAAGUGCCCCGCCUGGGGAGUACGG
Molecule: ribosomal RNA, 664 nt
Filed under: uncultured bacterium
Lineage: Bacteria
Description: bacterial SSU rRNA
Rfam family: Bacterial small subunit ribosomal RNA
Source: RNAcentral